UUUCUUCAGCGCGAAGCUGAAGUUGCGACCGAUGUACUUUCUGGUGCCAAAAAUAAUAAAUGAAGUGAACGUAAACAGUAAUGUGUGAUUCCCUUCCUCAAUAUGGAUGCUGAAGCUGGAAACGCAACAGGUUAUGGGCCCAGGCACAGCACAGGAGGAAGAUGGCAAAGAUUAGUUUUCGACGGAGAUGAAAACAACUACGAACUUUGGGAGGUAAAGUUCCUCGGCCAUUUAAGAAUAAUAGGCCUAAAAGACAAUACUUUCCGACGACCCAGAUCAAGAAAAGAAUGCAGAAUGCUACGCGGAGCUAAUCCAAUUCCUCGACGACAAAAUGAAAACGCAGUAGAAAAGUAGCUUUUGUUGCUGUGCAGAGUAUCCUUGUUUUACAGGAAAACAGAAGAAGAAGAACCAAGGCCAGGGGAGCAAGUCAGCAGCACAUCAGAGAAGGGAGGAAGCGGAACUUGCCCAGCUGCCUGUGCAUCAACACUCAGUCACACAACUCUGUUAGAUUAUAAAAACACUGGGUCAGGGAGAAAUAGCCAGUCUGAUUCUGCUUGAACUGACUGAACAUUUGUUGUCUGUUAGGGAAAGGCAUUCGGACCCAGAGCUCUGUAUUGCACAUUCAAUCUUGGUGUAAUAAAGACUCUUUUUAACCUGAA
Amphiprion ocellaris (clown anemonefish) is the source of this 659-nucleotide long non-coding RNA. RefSeq lists it as uncharacterized. The transcript is spliced from 2 exons. Lineage: Eukaryota; Metazoa; Chordata; Actinopteri; Pomacentridae. The record is from RefSeq and is a predicted model, not a curated record.